Molecule: transfer RNA, 76 nt
Filed under: Cupriavidus taiwanensis LMG 19424
Lineage: Bacteria; Pseudomonadati; Pseudomonadota; Betaproteobacteria; Burkholderiales; Burkholderiaceae
Description: tRNA-Val
Rfam family: tRNA
About the family: Transfer RNA (tRNA) molecules are approximately 80 nucleotides in length.
Source: RNAcentral
GGUGCUUAGCUCAGUUGGUAGAGCGGCGCCCUUACAAGGCGUAGGUCGGGGGUUCGAACCCCUCAGCACCCACCAC